Molecule: ribosomal RNA, 459 nt
Filed under: uncultured bacterium
Lineage: Bacteria
Description: partial 16S ribosomal RNA
Rfam family: Bacterial small subunit ribosomal RNA
Source: RNAcentral
CCUACGGGUGGCAGCAGUGAGGAAUAUUGGUCAAUGGACGAGAGUCUGAACCAGCCAAGUAGCGUGAAGGAUGACUGCCCUAUGGGUUGUAAACUUCUUUUAUAUGGGAAUAAAAUGUUCUACGUGUGGGAUUUUGUACGUACCAUAUGAAUAAGGAUCGGCUAACUCCGUGCCAGCAGCCGCGGUAAUACGGAGGAUCCGAGCGUUAUCCGGAUUUAUUGGGUUUAAAGGGAGCGUAGGUGGAUUGUUAAGUCAGUGGUAAAAUUGAGAGGCUCAACCUCUUCGAGCCGUUGAAACUGGUUUACUUGAGUGAGUGAGAGGUAUGCGGAAUGCGUGGUGUAGCGGUGAAAUGCAUAGAUAUCACGCAGAACUCCGAUUGCGAAGGCAGCAUACCGGCGCUCAACUGACGCUCAUGCACGAAAGUGUGGGUAUCGAACAGGAUUAGAUACCCGGGUAGUC